This 771-nucleotide ribosomal RNA is filed under the name uncultured Vagococcus sp. RNAcentral's name for it is "bacterial SSU rRNA". It matches the Rfam family "Bacterial small subunit ribosomal RNA", at positions 28 to 776 of the family's 1533-position model. The record is from RNAcentral. Lineage: Bacteria; Bacillati; Bacillota; Bacilli; Lactobacillales; Enterococcaceae.
GACGAACGCUGGCGGCGUGCCUAAUACAUGCAAGUCGAACGCACGAAGUUGAAGAGCUUGCUCUUUAACCAAGUGAGUGGCGGACGGGUGAGUAACACGUGGGUAACCUGCCCAUUAGAGGGGGAUAACAUUCGGAAACGGAUGCUAAUACCGCAUAGUUUCAGGAAUCGCAUGAUCCUUGAAGGAAAGGUGGCUUCGGCUACCACUAAUGGAUGGACCCGCGGCGUAUUAGCUAGUUGGUGAGGUAAUGGCUCACCAAGGCAAUGAUACGUAGCCGACCUGAGAGGGUGAUCGGCCACACUGGGACUGAGACACGGCCCAGACUCCUACGGGAGGCAGCAGUAGGGAAUCUUCCGCAAUGGACGAAAGUCUGACGGAGCAACGCCGCGUGAGUGAAGAAGGUUUUCGGAUCGUAAAACUCUGUUGUUAAAGAAGAACAAGGAUGAGAGUAACUGCUCAUCCCCUGACGGUAUUUAACCAGAAAGCCACGGCUAACUACGUGCCAGCAGCCGCGGUAAUACGUAGGUGGCAAGCGUUGUCCGGAUUUAUUGGGCGUAAAGCGAGCGCAGGCGGUUCUUUAAGUCUGAUGUGAAAGCCCCCGGCUCAACCGGGGAGGGUCAUUGGAAACUGGAGAACUUGAGUGCAGAAGAGGAGAGUGGAAUUCCACGUGUAGCGGUGAAAUGCGUAGAUAUGUGGAGGAACACCAGUGGCGAAGGCGACUCUCUGGUCUGUAACUGACGCUGAGGCUCGAAAGCGUGGGGAGCAAACAGG